UACGUAGGGCGCAAGCGUUGUCCGGAAUUAUUGGGCGUAAAGAGCUCGUAGGCGGUUUGUCGCGUCUGCUGUGAAAUCCUCAGGCUCAACUUGGGGCGUGCAGUGGGUACGGGCAGACUAGAGUGCGGUAGGGGAGACUGGAAUUCCUGGUGUAGCGGUGGAAUGCGCAGAUAUCAGGAGGAACACCGAUGGCGAAGGCAGGUCUCUGGGCCGUUACUGACGCUGGAGGAGCGAAAAGCCAUGGGGGAGCGAACAGG
Molecule: ribosomal RNA, 257 nt
Filed under: uncultured bacterium
Lineage: Bacteria
Description: partial 16S ribosomal RNA
Rfam family: Bacterial small subunit ribosomal RNA
Source: RNAcentral